RNAcentral lists this ribosomal RNA (253 nucleotides) under uncultured bacterium. RNAcentral describes it as "partial 16S ribosomal RNA". It matches the Rfam family "Bacterial small subunit ribosomal RNA", at positions 524 to 776 of the family's 1533-position model. The record is from RNAcentral.
UACGGAGGGUGCAAGCGUUAUCCGGAUUCACUGGGUUUAAAGGGUGCGUAGGUGGGCAGGUAAGUCAGUGGUGAAAUCUCCGGGCUUAACCCGGAAACUGCCUUUGGUACUAUCUGUCUUGAAUACCGUGGAGGUGAGCGGAAUAUGUCAUGUAGCGGUGAAAUGCUUAGAUAUGACAUAGAACACCAAUUGCGAAGGCAGCUCACUACGCGAAUAUUGACACUGAGGCACGAAAGCGUGGGGAUCAAACAGG